AAAACGUAAUAUAAAUUAAUAUAUUUCAUUUACACUGAAAAAAUACUUAGAUGUAAGUCGUUUU
RNAcentral lists this transfer RNA (64 nucleotides) under Cancellaria cooperii. Its description in RNAcentral is "transfer RNA-Val". Lineage: Eukaryota; Metazoa; Mollusca; Gastropoda; Neogastropoda; Cancellariidae. The record is from RNAcentral.